This 508-nucleotide ribosomal RNA is filed under the name Caulobacterales bacterium MV2. RNAcentral's name for it is "bacterial SSU rRNA". It matches the Rfam family "Bacterial small subunit ribosomal RNA", at positions 380 to 906 of the family's 1533-position model. Lineage: Bacteria; Pseudomonadati; Pseudomonadota; Alphaproteobacteria; Caulobacterales. The record is from RNAcentral.
AGCCUGACGCAGCCAUGCCGCGUGGAUGAUGAAGGUCUUAGGAUUGUAAAAUCCUUUCACCGGUGAAGAUAAUGACUGUAGCCGGAGAAGAAGCCCCGGCUAACUUCGUGCCAGCAGCCGCGGUAAUACGAAGGGGGCUAGCGUUGCUCGGAAUUACUGGGCGUAAAGGGAGCGUAGGCGGACAUUUAAGUCAGGGGUGAAAUCCCGAGGCUCAACCUCGGAACUGCCUUUGAUACUGGGUGUCUUGAGUGUGAGAGAGGUAUGUGGAACUCCGAGUGUAGAGGUGAAAUUCGUAGAUAUUCGGAAGAACACCAGUGGCGAAGGCGACAUACUGGCUCAUUACUGACGCUGAGGCUCGAAAGCGUGGGGAGCAAACAGGAUUAGAUACCCUGGUAGUCCACGCCGUAAACGAUGAUUGCUAGUUGUCGGGAAGCUUGCUUUUCGGUGACGCAGCUAACGCAUUAAGCAAUCCGCCUGGGGAGUACGGUCGCAAGAUUAAAACUCAAAG